RNAcentral lists this transfer RNA (73 nucleotides) under Cricetulus griseus (Chinese hamster). It matches the Rfam family "tRNA". From Rfam's summary of the family: Transfer RNA (tRNA) molecules are approximately 80 nucleotides in length. Their secondary structure includes four short double-helical elements and three loops (D, anti-codon, and T loops). Lineage: Eukaryota; Metazoa; Chordata; Mammalia; Rodentia; Cricetidae. The record is from Rfam by way of RNAcentral.
CGGAGUGUAGCUCAGUUGGUAGAGUGCUUGACUAGCAUGUGCAAGUUUCUGAGUUCAAGUCCCAGCACUGCCU